CGGUGGACCUUGAGACGUCCUCGGAUGAGCUGUGGGUAGGAGCGAAAGACUAAUCAAACCCCGUAAUAGCUGGUUCUCUUCGAAAUAUAUUUAGGUAUAGCCUUGUGCGCUUAUCAUUGAGGGUAGAGCACUGAAAAGGUUAGGGUCCACACCAGGAUACCAACCCUUAUCAAACUCCGAAUACCAAUGAGUGUAGCAUGGGAGUCAGACCGUGGGGGAUAAGCUUCAUGGUCGAGAGGGAAAGAGCCCAGACCGUCGAUUAAGGCCCCUAAAUCAUUGCUAAGUGGAAUAAAGGAGGUGAAUUCACGCGGACAAUAGGGAUGUUGGCUUAGAAGCAGCCACCAUUUAAACAGUGCGUAAUAGCUGACCUAUCGAGUGGAUUUGCGCCGAAGAUGAUCGGGACUCAAGUGAUGUGCCGAAAUUGCGGACUUGCGUAAGCAAGUGGUAGAAGAGCGUUCUAACGUGGCUGAAGCCGGAAGGGCAACUGACGGUGGACGCGUUAGAAGUGAGUAUCCAGACAUAAGUAGCGAUAAACACGGUGAGAAUCCGUGUCGCCGUAAGGACAAGGUUUCCUGGGCAAGGGUCGUCCUCCCAGGGUUAGUCGAGAGCUAAGACGAGGCCGAAAAGGAGUAGUCGAUGCACAACAGGUUAAUAUUCCUGUACCACCUUAUAUGCGUUAUCAUCUUCGGAGUGACGGAGAGGGCUAGUCUGGCGCGGUGUCGAAUGUCCGCGUCCAAAUGCCAGGGCUGUUCGGUAGGAAAAUCCGCUGAACAUAAGGCUGAGGCAUGAUGGGACUCUGAGGCUACGGCCAAAGGGGAUCAGAGGAGGUCGUACUUCCAAGAAAAGCUUCGUUGAGAGUAUAUGGGGUGCUCGUACCGCAAACCGACACAGGUGUUCGAGAUGAAUAUUCUAAGGCGCGUGAGUUAAACCUCCCCAAGGAACUCGGCAAAUUUGCCUUGUAUCUUCGGUAGAAGAGGCACCCGCGUAAGCGGGUCACAGUAAAGAGGCCCAACCGACUGUUUAUCAAAAACAUAGCUCUCUGCUAAGUCGAAAGACGAUGUAUAGGGAGUGACACGUGACCAAUGCGGAAAGGUGAAAGCCUGAGGUGCAAGCUUUGGGUCUAAGCCCCCGUGAAUGUCGGCCGUAACUAUAACGGUCCUAAGGUAGCGAAAUUCCUUGUCGGGUAAGUUCCGACCUGCACGAAUCGUGUAACGAGUUGGGCACUGUCUCAGGGAGACGCUCAGCGAAAUUGUAGUCGCGGUCAAGAUGCCGCGUUCCCGCAGCAGGACGGAAAGACCCUAUGGACCUUUACUGUAACCUGGUAUUGUUAUUUGACCUUUACUACGUAGGAUAGGUGGGAGACUUUGAGGCGCUACUUCAGGGUAGUGCGGAGUCAACGGUGAAAUACCACUUUUUAAUCGUUAGGUAUCUAACCUCGACCCAUGAGCUGGGCGGGGAACAGUGCUAGGGGGUCAGUUUGACUGGGGCGGUCUCCUCCUAAAGAAUAACGGAGGAUUACGAAGGUUUCCUCAUAUCGGUUGGCAAUCGAUAGUUGAGCACAUGAGUAGAAGGAAGCUUUACUGUGAGACCUACAAGUCGAGCAGUUGCGAAAGCAGGUUCAAGUGAUCCGGUGGUUGGAAAUGGAACUGCCAUCGCUUAAAGGAUAAAAGGUACCCUAGGGAUAACAGGCUGAUAGCGCCCAAGCGUUCAUAGCGACGGCGCUGUUUGGCACCUCGAUGUCGGCCCGUCACAUCCUGGGGCUGGAGAAGGUCCCAAGGGUUCGGCUGUUCGCCGAUUAAAGUGGCACGCGAGCUGGGUUCAAAACGUCGUGAGACAGUUUGGUUCUCUAUCCGCUGUGGGCGUUGGAAAUUUGAGGGGUUCAUUUCCUAGUACGAGAGGACCGGAAAUGACGAACCGCUGGUAUUCCAGUUAUUGCGUCAGCAGUAGUGCUGGGUAGCUAAGUUCGGACGAGAUAAGCGCUGAAAGCAUCUAAGCGCCAAGCUCUUCCCAAGAUAAGAUUUCCUUGAGGACUUGAUCCUCGAAAGAGUCCUGAUAGACCAUCAGGUUGAUAGGUCGCAUGUGUAAGCGCCGCAAGGUGUUGAGCUAAGCGAUACUAAUGACUCGAAAAUUUUUUCUUU
RNAcentral lists this ribosomal RNA (2138 nucleotides) under Puniceicoccales bacterium. RNAcentral describes it as "partial 23S ribosomal RNA". It matches the Rfam family "Bacterial large subunit ribosomal RNA", at positions 780 to 2925 of the family's 2925-position model. Lineage: Bacteria; Pseudomonadati; Verrucomicrobiota; Opitutia; Puniceicoccales. The record is from RNAcentral.